AAUAACAAUACGGGGCUUAAUGUCUUGUAAUUGGAAUGAUGGGAAUUUAAACCUCUUCCAGAGUAUCAAUUGGAGGGCAAGUCUGGUGCCAGCAGCCGCGGUAAUUCCAGCUCCAAUAGCGUAUAUUAAAAUUGUUGCAGUUAAAAAGCUCGUAGUUGAAUUUCUGCUGCAUUUCAUUUCUCUUUCUGAGUUUGUUUUUGCGGCUUAUUUCGGUUUGAUUUUUUCUUUCCGGAUGAUUACUUUGAGAAAAUUAGAGUGCUCAAAGCAGGCUUUUGCCUUGAAUAGUUUAGCAUGGAAUAAUAAAGUAGGACUUUGGUUCUAUUUUGUUGGUUUUAGGUACCAAAGUAAUGGUUAAUAGGAACAGUUGGGGGCAUUCGUAUUUAACUGUCAGAGGUGAAAUUCUUAG
This 406-nucleotide ribosomal RNA is filed under the name Theileria sp. RNAcentral's name for it is "SSU rRNA". It matches the Rfam family "Eukaryotic small subunit ribosomal RNA", at positions 476 to 923 of the family's 1831-position model. Lineage: Eukaryota; Apicomplexa; Aconoidasida; Piroplasmida; Theileriidae. The record is from RNAcentral.